This is a small nuclear RNA of Hyaena hyaena (striped hyena), 103 nucleotides long. The record is from RefSeq and is a predicted model, not a curated record. NCBI's taxonomy places the organism in Eukaryota, Metazoa, Chordata, Mammalia, Carnivora, Hyaenidae.
UUGCUUCAGGAGUACAUAUACUAAUAUUGGAACAAUACAGAGAAGAUAACAUGGCCUCUGUGCAAAGACAGACCUGCAAAUUCGUGACACUUUCCACGUUUUA